UUAAGUUCAGCGGGUACCCCUACCUGAUCCGAGGUCAAUUCAUUGAAUAUGGUUUGUUGUCUGGCGGACCCAGAGGGAUCUUCCAAAGCGGGAUAUAAUUUACUACGCUUGAAGUCCGACCGGACCGCCCAUGCUUUUGGGGCCCGCCGGGGAGGCGAAGGCCCAAUACCAAGCUACGCUUGAGGGGUGCAAUGACGCUC
RNAcentral lists this unclassified non-coding RNA (200 nucleotides) under Scoliciosporum sp. RNAcentral's name for it is "partial internal transcribed spacer 2". The record is from RNAcentral. Lineage: Eukaryota; Fungi; Ascomycota; Lecanoromycetes; Lecanorales; Lecanoraceae.